Molecule: ribosomal RNA, 1567 nt
Filed under: Salmonella enterica subsp. enterica serovar Paratyphi A
Lineage: Bacteria; Pseudomonadati; Pseudomonadota; Gammaproteobacteria; Enterobacterales; Enterobacteriaceae
Also listed under: 1 other name
Description: partial 23S ribosomal RNA
Rfam family: Bacterial large subunit ribosomal RNA
Source: RNAcentral
GUCUGGAAAGGCGCGCGAUACAGGGUGACAGCCCCGUACACAAAAGCGCAUGUGCUGUGAGCUCGAUGAGUAGGGCGGGACACGUGGUAUCCUGUCUGAAUAUGGGGGGACCAUCCUCCAAGGCUAAAUACUCCUGACUGACCGAUAGUGAACCAGUACCGUGAGGGAAAGGCGAAAAGAACCCCGGCGAGGGGAGUGAAAAAGAACCUGAAACCGUGUACGUACAAGCAGUGGGAGCACAGGUUUACCUGUGUGACUGCGUACCUUUUGUAUAAUGGGUCAGCGACUUAUAUUCUGUAGCAAGGUUAACCGUAUAGGGGAGCCGGAGGGAAACCGAGUCUUAACCGGGCGUUAAGUUGCAGGGUAUAGACCCGAAACCCGGUGAUCUAGCCAUGGGCAGGUUGAAGGUUGGGUAACACUAACUGGAGGACCGAACCGACUAAUGUUGAAAAAUUAGCGGAUGACCUGUGGCUGGGGGUGAAAGGCCAAUCAAACCGGGAGAUAGCUGGUUCUCCCCGAAAGCUAUUUAGGUAGCGCCUCGUGAAUUCAUCUCCGGGGGUAGAGCACUGUUUCGGCUAGGGGGCCAUCCCGGCUUACCAACCCGAUGCAAACUGCGAAUACCGGAGAAUGUUAUCACGGGAGACACACGGCGGGUGCUAACGUCCGUCGUGAAGAGGGAAACAACCCAGACCGCCAGCUAAGGUCCCAAAGUCAUGGUUAAGUGGGAAACGAUGUGGGAAGGCCCAGACAGCCAGGAUGUUGGCUUAGAAGCAGCCAUCAUUUAAAGAAAGCGUAAUAGCUCACUGGUCGAGUCGGCCUGCGCGGAAGAUGUAACGGGGCUAAACCAUGCACCGAAGCUGCGGCAGCGACACUCAGGUGUUGUUGGGUAGGGGAGCGUUCUGUAAGCCUGUGAAGGUGGCCUGUGAGGGUUGCUGGAGGUAUCAGAAGUGCGAAUGCUGACAUAAGUAACGAUAAAGCGGGUGAAAAGCCCGCUCGCCGGAAGACCAAGGGUUCCUGUCCAACGUUAAUCGGGGCAGGGUGAGUCGACCCCUAAGGCGAGGCCGAAAGGCGUAGUCGAUGGGAAACGGGUUAAUAUUCCCGUACUUGGUGUUACUGCGAAGGGGGGGACGGAGAAGGCUAUGUUGGCCGGGCGACGGUUGUCCCGGUUUAAGCGUGUAGGUGUGUGUUCCAGGUAAAUCCGGUUCACUUUAACACUGAGGCGUGACGACGAGGCACUACGGUGCUGAAGCAACAAAUGCCCUGCUUCCAGGAAAAGCCUCUAAGCAUCAGGUAACAUCAAAUCGUACCCCAAACCGACACAGGUGGUCAGGUAGAGAAUACCAAGGCGCUUGAGAGAACUCGGGUGAAGGAACUAGGCAAAAUGGUGCCGUAACUUCGGGAGAAGGCACGCUGACACGUAGGUGAAGUGAUUUACUCAUGGAGCUGAAGUCAGUCGAAGAUACCAGCUGGCUGCAACUGUUUAUUAAAAACACAGCACUGUGCAAACACGAAAGUGGACGUAUACGGUGUGACGCCUGCCCGGUGCCGGAAGGUUAAUUGAUGGGGU